This 425-nucleotide ribosomal RNA is filed under the name uncultured Lachnospiraceae bacterium. RNAcentral describes it as "bacterial SSU rRNA". It matches the Rfam family "Bacterial small subunit ribosomal RNA", at positions 354 to 796 of the family's 1533-position model. The record is from RNAcentral. Lineage: Bacteria; Bacillati; Bacillota; Clostridia; Lachnospirales; Lachnospiraceae.
GUGGGGAAUAUUGCACAAUGGGGGAAACCCUGAUGCAGCAACGCCGCGUGAGUGAAGAAGUCAUUCGUGAUGUAAAGCUCUAUCAGCAGGGAAGAAAAUGACGGUACCUGAGUAAGAAGCCCCGGCUAACUACGUGCCAGCAGCCGCGGUAAUACGUAGGGGGCAAGCGUUAUCCGGAUUUACUGGGUGUAAAGGGAGCGUAGACGGCCAGACAAGUCUGAAGUGAAAAUCCAGCGCUUAACGUUGGAAGUGCUUUGGAAACUGCCGGGCUAGAGUGCAGGAGGGGCAGGCGGAAUUCCUAGUGUAGCGGUGAAAUGCGUAGAUAUUAGGAGGAACACCAGUGGCGAAGGCGGCCUGCUGGACUGCAACUGACGUUGAGGCUCGAAGGCGUGGGGAGCAAACAGGAUUAGAAACCCGAGUAGUCC